Molecule: non-coding RNA, 124 nt
Organism: Hordeum vulgare subsp. vulgare (domesticated barley)
Lineage: Eukaryota; Viridiplantae; Streptophyta; Magnoliopsida; Poales; Poaceae
Source: Rfam
AAUAUACUACCUCCGUCCGAAAAUACUUGUUCUAGAUAUGUAUAAAAUAGAUGUAUCUAUAACUAAAAUAAGUCUAGAUACAUCUAUUUCUAAGACAAGUAUUUUCGGACGGAGGGAGUAGCAU